This 532-nucleotide ribosomal RNA is filed under the name Phaneropterinae sp. 1 BG-2015. RNAcentral's name for it is "SSU rRNA". It matches the Rfam family "Eukaryotic small subunit ribosomal RNA", at positions 720 to 1135 of the family's 1831-position model. Lineage: Eukaryota; Metazoa; Arthropoda; Insecta; Orthoptera; Tettigoniidae. The record is from RNAcentral.
AUGAUUCGUGGGACGUCCUGCCGGUGGCGGCGAGUCGAAGCCGCGCUCCCGUUGUGGUUUUCCACAAUGGUUCUUGCGCGACGGAGGCGGACCCCGAUGAAAUCCUACCGCGGUGCUCUUCGCCGAGUGUCGAGGUGGGCCGGCACGUUUACUUUGAACAAAUUAGAGUGCUUAAAGCAGGCCUGUUGCGCCUGAAUACUGUGUGCAUGGAAUAAUGGAAUAGGACCUCGGUUCUAUUUUGUUGGUUUUCGGAACCCGAGGUAAUGAUUAAUAGGGACAGUCGGGGGCAUUCGUAUUGCGACGUUAGAGGUGAAAUUCUUGGAUCGUCGCAAGACGGACAGAAGCGAAAGCAUUUGCCAAGUAUGUUUUCAUUAAUCAAGAACGAAAGUUAGAGGUUCGAAAGGCGAUCAGAUACCGCCCUAGUUCUAACCAUAAACGAUGCCAGCUAGCGAUCCGCCGAAGUUCCUCCGAUGACUCGGCGGGCAGCUCCCGGGAAACCAAAGCUUUUGGGUUCCGGGGAAGUAUGGUGAAG